RNAcentral lists this ribosomal RNA (253 nucleotides) under uncultured bacterium. RNAcentral describes it as "partial 16S ribosomal RNA". It matches the Rfam family "Bacterial small subunit ribosomal RNA", at positions 524 to 776 of the family's 1533-position model. The record is from RNAcentral.
UACGUAGGGGGCAAGCGUUAUCCGGAUUUACUGGGUGUAAAGGGAGCGCAGGCGGCGCGGCAAGUCCGAUGUGAAAACCCCCGGCUCAACCGGGGGACUGCAUUGGAAACUACCGGGCUGGAGUGCCGGAGAGGUAGGCGGAAUUCCUGGUGUAGCGGUGAAAUGCGUAGAUAUCAGGAGGAACACCAGUGGCGAAGGCGGCCUACUGGACGGUGACUGACGCUGAGGCUCGAAAGCGUGGGGAGCAAACAGG